This is a non-coding RNA of Cladochytrium replicatum, 73 nucleotides long. The record is from the annotation of a GenBank genome assembly. NCBI's taxonomy places the organism in Eukaryota, Fungi, Chytridiomycota, Chytridiomycetes, Cladochytriales, Cladochytriaceae.
GCUCUAUUAGCUCAAUUGGUUAUGGCGCAGCGCUGUAAGCAAAAGGACGCAGGUUCGAACCCCUGAUAGAGCG